UACGGGGGGGGCAAGCGUUGUUCGGAAUUACUGGGCGUAAAGGGUGCGUAGGUGGCCAGGUAAGUUUGGUGUGAAAGCUCGGAGCUUAACUCCGAAAAGUCAUUGAAUACUAUCUGGCUGGAGGGUCGGAGGGGAGACUGGAAUUCUCGGUGUAGCAGUGAAAUGCGUAGAUAUCGAGAGGAACACCAGUGGCGAAGGCGAGUCUCUGGACGACUCCUGACACUGAGGCACGAAAGCUAGGGGAGCAAACAGG
Molecule: ribosomal RNA, 253 nt
Filed under: uncultured bacterium
Lineage: Bacteria
Description: partial 16S ribosomal RNA
Rfam family: Bacterial small subunit ribosomal RNA
Source: RNAcentral